RNAcentral lists this ribosomal RNA (484 nucleotides) under uncultured bacterium. RNAcentral describes it as "partial 16S ribosomal RNA". It matches the Rfam family "Bacterial small subunit ribosomal RNA", at positions 28 to 507 of the family's 1533-position model. The record is from RNAcentral.
AUUGAACGCUGGCGGCAUGCUUUACACAUGCAAGUCGAACGGCAGCGCGGGCUUCGGCCUGGCGGCGAGUGGCGAGCGGGUGAGUAAUGCAUCGGAACGUGCCCAGUAGUGGGGGAUAGCCCAGCGAAAGCCGGAUUAAUACCGCAUACGACCUGAGGGUGAAAGCGGGGGACCGAAAGGCCUCGCGCUAUUGGAGCGGCCGAUGUCGGAUUAGCUAGUUGGUGGGGUAAAGGCUUACCAAGGCGACGAUCCGUAGCUGGUCUGAGAGGACGACCAGCCACACUGGGACUGAGACACGGCCCAGACUCCUACGGGAGGCAGCAGUGGGGAAUUUUGGACAAUGGGGGCAACCCUGAUCCAGCCAUGCCGCGUGCGGGAAGAAGGCCUGCGGGUUGUAAACCGCUUUUGUUCGGGAAGAAAUCCUCUGGGCUAAUACCCCGGGGGGAUGACGGUACCGGAAGAAUAAGCACCGGCUAACUACGUG